GAGAACUCCAUUCUUUAAUUAUUUUUAACUUUUUUUAAAAAUAACUUUGAGGAAACCACUGGAUUCCCAUCAUUUCUCUUCCCACAGUGACUGGUGCUGAGGCACUUAAUAAAUAUUUGUGGAAUUGAAUCUGAGAGAAAAUAGAGAAAAUAGAAAGAAAUUAAUUUGAAAUUGUAGCCCUCCACCGCAGUAAGGCAGUAAUUGUAUUGUCUUCCAGUCUUUAUCCACCUCCCAGGUCACUGGGGCUUCUAUGAUUUGUUAGGUUUUUACAUAUUCAGGGCUCUCCCUCUUUGCCAAACUGUUAAAUCUUUGGUACUCAAAAUGUGAUUUUUUUUUUUUUUUCCAUGUGGAAGUUCCUGGGCCUGGGAUAGAACCCUGGUCACUGCAGAGACAAUGCCAGAUCCUUAACUGGCUGCGCUGCGCCUCACCUGCAACCCCAAAAUGUGGUCUUUAGACCAACAGCAUGGACAUUACCCAGGAGCUUGCUGGAUAUGCAGACUCCCAGGCCUACCACAUUCCACCUAAUUCAGCACUUUAAACAAGAUACUCGGGUGAUUCAGGAUCACAUUCAAAUUUGAGAAGAGGCUUCGACUGAAAGGAGCUACUCGAGGUCACUUGCUGGUUAGGGGCUGGACUGAGGUUGGAACCUGCCAAGUGUGCUGAUGGACAUCUCUCUGGAAUGACCCAUUAGACGUCUUCCUUCAUGGUAUUUAUUUGCUUUUUUAACCCUGGACUCAUAUAUACACUGUUUACACUA
Long non-coding RNA from Phacochoerus africanus (Common warthog), 757 nucleotides. RefSeq lists it as uncharacterized. The transcript has 2 exons. Lineage: Eukaryota; Metazoa; Chordata; Mammalia; Artiodactyla; Suidae. The record is from RefSeq and is a predicted model, not a curated record.